Molecule: ribosomal RNA, 481 nt
Filed under: uncultured bacterium
Lineage: Bacteria
Description: bacterial SSU rRNA
Rfam family: Bacterial small subunit ribosomal RNA
Source: RNAcentral
GGCCUAACACAUGCAAGUCGAGGGGCAGCACAAGGAGCAAUCUGAGGUGGCGACCGGCGCACGGGUGAGUAACACGUAUGGCAACCUGCCUGUAAGCGGGGAAUAACCCGUUGAAAGACGGACUAAUACCGCAUAAUACUAAAUUACUGCAUGGUAAUUUAUUUAAACAUUUAUGGCUUACAGAUGGGCAUGCGCAUGAUUAGCUAGUUGGAGAGGUAACGGCUCCCCAAGGCAACGAUCAUUAGGGGUUCUGAGAGGAAGGUCCCCCACACUGGUACUGAGACACGGACCAGACUCCUACGGGAGGCAGCAGUGAGGAAUAUUGGUCAAUGGACGAGAGUCUGAACCAGCCAAGUCGCGUGCAGGAAGAAUGUUCCCUAUGGAUUGUAAACUGCUUUUGCAGGGGAAUAAAGUGCAUCACGUGUGAUGUUUUGUAUGUACUCUGCGAAUAAGGAUCGGCCAACUCCGUGCCAGCCGCCGC